CUAGAAAGGGACGUCUCUAAUGUUUUCUAGGCAAACAGGGUGUGCUUGUCGAAGAGAUAUUCUGCCGAGCCAGAUUCGGGCGCUCCCAUCUUGCGCAAGUUGGUCACGUGGUCACUCAAUUCUUUGAUGGCUUUCACCUGCUCAUUCAGGGCACUAAUAUACACAUGAUGAUACUUAAUUCUCUCAGAAAACCUUUGGCAAAGACACUUUCUACAUCUUGAAGGCAAGGAAUCUGAAUCUUGAAGAGAUUAAAUGAAUUGUCCAAAGUCACGUGGGGGUUUGGGAGAAGGAAAAUCAUGAACACACAUUCUUCUACUCUGGAGAAGUGGGGAAGGUGACCUGGGAAACCAUCUGAAAGGGAGCAGGAUGGAUUCUAUAAAAUAUAGAGUGUUCAAUGAAAACAACCUGAUGCUCCUCCCAGUACCAUCACAUUUUUCUAGCUGCAUAUCCUUAGGAACCACAUUCUACUUGUGUAGGAGCUGCGACAGUAACCAACUCAUCCUGCCCUACUCACAGUAUAGCAUCUUUAGGCAUUGACUACAAUCAGCCAAGUCACCGGCUGAGGGGAAGAACAAGAACCAACCUUGAACUAUGAUCUAAGACAAGUACUGUACCUAAGGUCCUAAAACAUAUUGGUGAUAUGGAAGGUAGACAAAAUGGCCAAAUAGAAGCCUUCACCCAUUGUUCUCCCUGCAGAAACACUAAAUUGAACAACUAUCCACACAUAAAUCACCUUCAUAUGAAGCAAAAAUCAGCCACAUUAAACAAUGAUGAGUUCAAAUGGAAACAUACAGCCUUUCAACACUGGCUCCAAGAGAUGGCAUCUAGAAGAAACAGACUGAUUCUGCAGAGUUCUGAAGGGAGCAGGUGACUUAGCAAUUCUGUCUUCAGUUUCUCUGUGAACAUCAUCAAUGUUUUCCUGUGCUCCAGUUGUCAAACUUCAUCAGCGAAAUGUUGGGGUCAUUUAAAGCUGCUGCUUUGCAUUCACUGAAACGACUAACAACCACAAGGAAACAUGAUCACUGGUGAAUUCUUUGAACCCAGGUUCACUCUUCACUUCAAAAAUUUCACCAUCAGCUCAAAGCAAAUAUUUAACUUCUCUAGUCCCAACACAGAAGGUGAUGGUGGAGGACUGAAGUCAAUCAUCAACUAUCACAAUGGUCAGCAUUCAAAGAACUCUAAAUACAAGCCUCAGAGUCAGUGACUCUCUAGGCUUUCUCAACAGCCUUUCAGGAGUUCCUAUUACUCACAUUUGAAAAGGCUUAGCCAUUUAUCACUAUCAGUCCCAUAUUGCCAUUAGUUCUCAUCCUUGCCUCUAUCUCCUAAUGUUUAUUUUGAUUUUGCACAAAAUUAUAUAGCCUGUUUGUCUUAAAAUCCAAGCUAUCAUAUGUAUCAAACUUUUUUUAAACUCCAUAUACAGAGGAAAGUCCAAGAGAUGUAAAGGGAAAAAUGAUUCACUAUCUCAUAAUUUUACCAGUAACAUCCAUUAGCACGCCACCAGCUUCAGUAACAAUAAUGGCAGCUACUGCAAUAUCCCAGCAGUGAAUUCCCAUUUCAUAAAAUGCCUCUGCUCCUCCACUUGCCGCAAUGCACAUAUUAGUAGCUGCUGUUCCAACACUCUGGAUCCUCAAAAAUAGUAUUCAAAAAUGGCAGAUUGAAAAAAUAACCUUUCAAGUAAGGUAUUCCUCCUAACUUCAGUUUGAAUGUUGAUUGAGAUAAGUUGAACCAAUCUAGAGAAUAAAUGUAAAAAAAGAUGGUAUUUAAUCUUAAAAUAAAAAUAUAUAAAAUCCAGUUAUCGUGAUAUACUAUAUAAAUCCCAAAACUAAUCCUCACAAAGCAAUAAUUUAAUAAGAUAAACAUGAAAGCAAUAAUUUUGCAGAAAAAAAGCCCUAAAAAUAAUGCUAUAAUUCUACUAUAACAGCAUGCAAAUAUAUUCAUAUUUUUUUAAACCCAAGGCAACCACAGCUUAUUUUACACAGAUACACACACACAUGCACACAUACACAAUGCACAAUAAUCUCUAGGGAGCAUAAAGUAUCAUGAUAUUGAUCAUUCCCAACUGGAUGUGCAUCAUAUCUAGACCUAAAGGGAUUGCAACCCACCUGGGUUCUGCACAAACCUAGGCCUCUCUUGAAAGAUUACUACAGGUUUUUCCUCUCAUAGCACCUCUUCCUUGAAAAUACAGCAAGGUAAGAUGAAUGUGUAAGAUAUAAGUAAGAAUAAGUAAGAUACUACUUGAUAGCAAUUAUAGUAAUAACUUAUUCAGUAAAGAAUCAUCAGCCGGGCGUGGUGGCUCACACCUGUAAUCCCAGCACUUUGGGAGGCCAAGGUGGGCAGAUCACAAGGUCAGGAGACCGAGACCAUCCUGGCUAACACGGUGAAACCCCAUCUCUACUAAAAAUAUAUAUUAAAAAGAAUUAGCCAGGCGUUGUUGCGGGCACCUGUAGUCCCAGCUACUCAGGAGGCUGAGGCAGAAGAAUGGCGUGAACCUGGGAGGCAGAGCUUGCAGUGAGCCAAGAUCGAGCCACUACACUCCAGCCUGGGCAACAGAGCAAGACUCCAUCUCAAAAAAAAAAAUCAUCAAUAAAUGUUAAAAUUAAUGGGUAAAAGUUUGAUAUUUUUGGUAUCAAAGUAUCUCUCCACAAGAUAUAUAAUAAGUACAGUGAGGAAAAAAUAGCAUUUUUACAAUGAUCUAUCUACCAUUACCAAGUAAUCAAAGUUAAUAUCACCCAUAAUAGGACAAAAAGAUACCAUGUGCCUCCUGAUAUGAUGCACUGAGAAGUACAGAACAUUACUUCUGUGACAUUCCUGCCAAAAAUUCAUAAUCCAAAUGUAAUCAUAAAUAAACUAGACAAAUUCAAAUCAAGAGAUAGACCACGAAAUAAUUGGCCUAUACUUUUGAAAAAUGUCAAGGUCAUAAAAGAUAAAGAAAGACCAAGCAAGUUAUAAAUUAAAGGAAACUGAAGAGAAAUGAGAACUAAAUGCAAUCAAUGUAUGAGUCUGGAUUGGACAUUGGGUUAAAAUUUUUUUCAAAAUUUGAAUAAAGUCUUUAUAUUAGAUUAUGUAUCAAUGUUAAUUUCCUGACUUUUAUAAUUGUGCUGUGGCUGUGUUAGACAAUGUUCCUUUUUAUUAAAGAAAUACACACUGAAAUGUGUUUUUAGAAGAAAAAGAUCAUUAUGUCUGCAAGUUAAUUGCAAAUGGUUUCUAUUCAAACUCCUUUUGUGACUGUUUAAAGCUCUGGAAAUAAAGCAGUGGGUUCUAUUU
Molecule: long non-coding RNA, 3264 nt
Filed under: Homo sapiens (human)
Lineage: Eukaryota; Metazoa; Chordata; Mammalia; Primates; Hominidae
Description: HSALNT0139459
Source: RNAcentral